UCCAGACUCCUACGGGAGGCAGCAGUGAGGAAUAUUGGUCAAUGGCCGGAAGGCUGAACCAGCCAAGUCGCGUGAGGGACGACUGCCCUAUGGGUUGUAAACCUCUUUUAUAAGGGAAGAAUAAAUGCUACGUGUAGCAUGAUGCCUGUACCUUAUGAAUAAGCAUCGGCUAACUCCGUGCCAGCAGCCGCGGUAAUACGGAGGAUGCGAGCGUUAUCCGGAUUUAUUGGGUUUAAAGGGUGCGCAGGCGGCACGGCAAGCCGGCGGUCAAAUCGCGGGGCUCAACCCCGCCCAGCCGUCGGAACUGCCGGGCUAGAGUGGGCGAGAAGUGCGCGGAAUGCGUGGUGUAGCGGUGAAAUGCAUAGAUAUCACGCAGAACUCCGAUUGCGAAGGCAGCGCACCGGCGCCCUACUGACGCUCAGGCACGAAAGCGUGGGUAUCGAACAGGAUUAGAUACCCUAGUA
This 464-nucleotide ribosomal RNA is filed under the name uncultured bacterium. RNAcentral's name for it is "bacterial SSU rRNA". It matches the Rfam family "Bacterial small subunit ribosomal RNA", at positions 330 to 792 of the family's 1533-position model. The record is from RNAcentral.